This 550-nucleotide ribosomal RNA is filed under the name uncultured bacterium. RNAcentral's name for it is "bacterial SSU rRNA". It matches the Rfam family "Bacterial small subunit ribosomal RNA", at positions 127 to 711 of the family's 1533-position model. The record is from RNAcentral.
UACCCUUUUCUAAGGAAUAGCCACUGGAAACGGUGAGUAAUACCUUAUACGCCCUUCGGGGGAAAGAUUUAUCGGAGAAGGAUCGGCCCGCGUUAGAUUAGAUAGUUGGUGGGGUAACGGCCUACCAAGUCUACGAUCUAUAGCUGGUUUUAGAGGAUGAUCAGCAACACUGGGACUGAGACACGGCCCAGACUCCUACGGGAGGCAGCAGUGGGGAAUCUUGGACAAUGGGCGCAAGCCUGAUCCAGCCAUGCCGCGUGAGUGAUGAAGGCCUUAGGGUCGUAAAGCUCUUUCGCUGGGGAUGAUAAUGACAGUACCCAGUAAAGAAACCCCGGCUAACUCCGUGCCAGCAGCCGCGGUAAUACGGAGGGGGUUAGCGUUGUUCGGAAUUACUGGGCGUAAAGCGCGCGUAGGCGGAUUGGAAAGUUGGGGGUGAAAUCCCGGGGCUCAACCUCGGAACUGCCUCCAAAACUAUCAGUCUAGAGUUCGAGAGAGGUGAGUGGAAUUCCGAGUGUAGAGGUGAAAUUCGUAGAUAUUCGGAGGAACACCA